ACUGCUCAGUAACACGUGGACAACCUACCCUUAGGACUGGGAUAAACCUGGGAAACUGGGUAUAAUACCGGAUAGGUCUCGAAUGCUGGAAUGCAUCGAGACUUAAAGCUCCGGCGCCUAAGGAUGGGUCUGCGGCCUAUCAGGGUAGUAGUGGGUGUAAUGUACCUACUAGCCUACGACGGGUACGGGUCGUGAGAGCGAGAGCCCGGAGAUGGAUUCUGAGACACGAAUCCAGGCCCUACGGGGUGCAGCAGGCGCGAAAACUUUACAAUGCUGGAAACAGCGAUAGGGGGACUUUGAGUGCCAGGAUACAAUCUUGGCUGUCGUAAUGCCUAAAAAGCAUUGCAUAGCAAGGGCCGGGCAAGACCGGUGCCAGCCGCCGCGGUAACACCGGCGGCUCGAGUGGUAACCGCUAUUAUUGGGUCUAAAGGGUCUGUAGCCGGCUGGAUAAGUCUCUUGGGAAAUCCGACAGCUUAACUGUCGGGCUUUCAGGAGAUACUGUCCGGCUCGAGACCGGGAGAGGUGAGAGGUACUUCAUGGGUAGGGGUGAAAUCUUGUAAUCCUUGAAGGACCACCAGUGGCGAAGGCGUCUCACCAGAACGGAUCUGACGGCAGGGGACGAAAGCUAGGGGCACGAACCGGAUUAGAUACCCGGGUAGUCCUAGCCGUAAACGAUACUCGCUAGGUGUCAGGCAUGGCGUGACCGUGUCUGGUGCCGCAGGGAAGCCGUGAAGCGAGCCACCUGGGAAGUACGGCCGCAAGGCUGAAACUUAAAGGAAUUGGCGGGGGAGCAC
Molecule: ribosomal RNA, 794 nt
Filed under: uncultured archaeon
Lineage: Archaea
Description: bacterial SSU rRNA
Rfam family: Archaeal small subunit ribosomal RNA
Source: RNAcentral